GAUGAACGCUGGCGGCGUGCUUAACACAUGCAAGUCGAACGGAAAGGCCUCUUUCGGGGGGUACUCGAGUGGCGAACGGGUGAGUAACACGUGAGUAACCUGCCCUUGACUUUGGGAUAACUUCAGGAAACUGGGGCUAAUACCGGAUAGGAGCUCCUGCUGCAUGGUGGGGGUUGGAAAGUUUCGGCGGUUGGGGAUGGACUCGCGGCUUAUCAGCUUGUUGGUGGGGUAGUGGCUUACCAAGGCUUUGACGGGUAGCCGGCCUGAGAGGGUGACCGGCCACAUUGGGACUGAGAUACGGCCCAGACUCCUACGGGAGGCAGCAGUGGGGAAUAUUGCACAAUGGGUGGAAGCCUGAUGCAGCAACGCCGUGUGCGGGAUGACGGCCUUCGGGUUGUAAACCGCUUUCGCUCAUGACGAAGCUUUGUGUGACGGUAGUGGGUAAAGAAGCACCGGCUAACUACGUG
This 467-nucleotide ribosomal RNA is filed under the name uncultured bacterium. Its description in RNAcentral is "partial 16S ribosomal RNA". It matches the Rfam family "Bacterial small subunit ribosomal RNA", at positions 28 to 507 of the family's 1533-position model. The record is from RNAcentral.